RNAcentral lists this long non-coding RNA (468 nucleotides) under Carica papaya (papaya). Its description in RNAcentral is "long non-coding RNA (CPAP_LNC013339)". The record is from RNAcentral. Lineage: Eukaryota; Viridiplantae; Streptophyta; Magnoliopsida; Brassicales; Caricaceae.
GUCCAGUAUGAGCGCCAAAUUAUCAAAUCUCGAUAACUCGUCCGGUAUGAGGCAACGUUCACGGUAGGGUUCCUUAUAUACCCGAUCUGUCCACCAUCUCCCAAGAUAUCCAGUAAGGCUAUCGUUCAUCCAUUUAUUUAAUCAAACUGUUUCCUGACUUUCUUUAAUUUCCAGUUUCUCAAUUCAACCAUAAUCAUAUGAAGCAAACAAUACAUGCAUUCAAGCCGUAAGAUCAAUCAGUCAGAUAUUAUCAUGACCUCAAACUGUAAAAUAAAUCAGCAGUGAAUAAUUUCUGGUUUUGGCUCCAUUAGUUACCUGUAAUCAAUCAUGAAUAUUUUCUAAACUUCCCAAAACACCGUAUUAUUAGUAUUAAUUAGACUUCAAUUCCAUAACAGAGAAUAAGGUGAAGGAUUUUUACUCAAAUUGAGACCUAAAGUGCUAAACUGGUUAACUGUAUCUACUGGCAGU